AUUGAACGCUGGCGGCAGGCCUAACACAUGCAAGUCGAACGGUAACAGGAAGAAGCUUGCUUCUUUGCUGACGAGUGGCGGACGGGUGAGUAAUGUCUGGGAAACUGCCUGAUGGAGGGGGAUAACUACUGGAAACGGUAGCUAAUACCGCAUAACGUCGCAAGACCAAAGAGGGGGACCUUCGGGCCUCUUGCCAUCGGAUGUGCCCAGAUGGGAUUAGCUAGUAGGUGGGGUAACGGCUCACCUAGGCGACGAUCCCUAGCUGGUCUGAGAGGAUGACCAGCCACACUGGAACUGAGACACGGUCCAGACUCCUACGGGAGGCAGCAGUGGGGAAUAUUGCACAAUGGGCGCAAGCCUGAUGCAGCCAUGCUGCGUGUAUGAAGAAGGCCUUCGGGUUGUAAAGUACUUUCAGCGGGGAGGAAGGGAGUAAAGUUAAUACCUUUGCUCAUUGACGUUACCCGCAGAAGAAGCACCGGUUAACUCCGUG
RNAcentral lists this ribosomal RNA (490 nucleotides) under uncultured bacterium. Its description in RNAcentral is "partial 16S ribosomal RNA". It matches the Rfam family "Bacterial small subunit ribosomal RNA", at positions 30 to 507 of the family's 1533-position model. The record is from RNAcentral.